UAUAGAUUUUCAAUCUUAAUUUACCAGCUGACCGAUUCUGUGUUCAUACGAAGCAUAAACGCCUACGUUUUAAUUUAUAUACCAACAUUAUUGUGUCAUGUGAUAUUGAUUGGCUAUUUUCUGUACAAGUCUGUUCGACAUACAUAUCUUUUUGUUAGAGGUCUUAAAAAGGAUACAGAUUAUGAGGAAUGCAAACCAUGUGCAAGCCCGCCACAAUAUAGCUACGUAAAAUGGUUAUUGAAAAGACCAGAACGGGACAUUAAAGAUACAUGUACGGGGUUGAAGAGG
Mytilus trossulus (common blue mussel) is the source of this 288-nucleotide long non-coding RNA. RefSeq lists it as uncharacterized. The transcript has 3 exons. The record is from RefSeq and is a predicted model, not a curated record. NCBI's taxonomy places the organism in Eukaryota, Metazoa, Mollusca, Bivalvia, Mytilida, Mytilidae.